CUGUGUGCCCCUUCGGUCCAAAACUGCCCGCACCUAUAUAGCGACCCCUACCCUAGACGGGGGUGGGGGUGUGGGGUGUGGGGUNGGGGGGGUCGUGGUGACCGGGUUGUGGACGGCCGGCGGGACCGGGGUUACGGGGGACGGAGGUGCGGGACGCGGAAGAGGCCCGGUGCGCUCCUCCGACGCCCUAGGACCCUCGAACCUCCUAGUCCGGGCCCGGCUUCCCCGCCGACAGGUGCGUUCCCUUCCCCCGGCUCUCUCUCCUUUCCUCCGUCAGCGCGACGUCCCGUCGGGGUUCGACCCGAGGGCUGACGGGCCGCAGGCCCGGCGGGCGGCGCGUGGAGGAAUCACCAAGGGGAGAGGGUCCUCGUGUGGGGACGGGUGCUCGCCACGUCGACGGACCGAACGGACCGCGGCCCGACCCUCGGAACACACCGGCCAGCAGCAGCGCGGUAUAGCCUACAAAAUUUGGUAUAUAAGUCGCUUUGGUAUUUAAGUCGCAGGACCAGCCAGACUAUGAAAAAAAGUGCGAUUUAUAAUCUGGAAAAUAUGGUAAUUGUUAAUCACUUGUAUGGGUUAGGGUUAAAGUUACGAUUAGUAGGGUCGGGGCUUUGGGGGUCAAUGGCCACCAUUUAGAACUGAUACAGAAAUGAUUAAAAAGAAAAUGUUUUAUUUUCACUAAUUACUGCUUUCUCAUCUGAGAAUGUUCAAUAUUUUAAGACAUUUUAUCCGAACCAAAGGACAGUCGGCUUCACUGAUUUAUGGGCUGCAUCUUAGGAACAUUACAAGGAGUGAGUCUGUAGCUUUCUGGUGCCAAAGCAGUAAAGGAGUGAACUCAGUACCAACCUCAAAGAAGAACAGAAUCCCUGAUGAAGAUGCUCCUUCUCACUUUGGGCUCAUCUGACUGUGGAUGUGUGAACGAUCUGUUUCCAACUGCAUGCUUUUUAAAGAUGCAUUUCAUAUAUUUUGGAGACCAGCAGAAGCUGAUGUCUACAUAGAUUAAAUAAAAUUGAUGUUUCGACCAGCUUUUGUAAAGUACUGCUCAAACAUUAGUUAUUGUAAUCAUGCUCAUCAUUUCAAUAAUGAACUGAGAGUAAAAAGGAUGUUUUUUCUGCCUGAUAAGCUUUGUGGUUGACAUAGUGUGUACAAUAUUGUGUUGACUGACCUGUGUUUAAACUAAAGUCUAAACUAAAUCAAGGAUAGAAUUUAACUUUUAAUUUCUAAAUUUUCUACAAGAAAACACAUUUAAACCAUGUCACUGUGACAAUGUUGGUGCAUGUUGAAUGUUUUUUUCAUCAUUUGCUGUAAAAAUAAAAUACAACUUAUGAUAAAUGGGUCACAGAAUUUGGCCAAUCAAAUGUACGCGCUUCAAAGGAAGUUUUUAUUUUAUUCAUACAUUUAAUGUACUUAAUUUUUUUCAAAAGAUGGCUCUAUUUAUAUAUAAAUAUAAAAAAAAAUCCACUUCAAUAAUUGUUAAUUAUUGUAAACAUGUUGUUAUGUAAAUUUUAAGGAGGUGGAUAUCAUUGGUCUACCAUUAAUAUUGGCCUAAAUCUACAUUAAAAUGUAAUAUUGGAAAGUACCCGUAUCUGGCCUUUAAAUGACCCAACUUUUACAUGCCAUACACAUAAAUAUACACUGCUCAAAAAAUAAAGGGUACACAAAAAUAAGAUGUCCUAGAUCUGAAUGAAUGAAAUAUUCUUAUUGAAGGCUUUGUUCUUUAUAGUUGAAUGUGCUGACAACAGAAUCACACAAAAAUAUCAGUGGAAAUCAAAUUGAUCAACCCGUUGAGGUCUGGAUUUGGAGUUACACUCAAAAUGAAAGUGUAAAAAUACACUACAGUCGGAUCCCACUGUGAUGCAAUGUCCUCUAAACAAGUCAGAAUGAGGCUCAGACGUAUGUGUGGCCUCCACAUUCCUGUCUGACCUCCCCACAACAUCUGGGCAUGCUCCUGAUGAGGUGGUGGAGGGUCCUCCCAGACCUGGACUGAAGCAUCCACCAUCUCCCGGACAGUCUGCAGUGCAAUGUGGCUUUGGUGGAUGGAGCGAGACAUGGUGUCACACUAACAGUGAUUUCUGCAAUAACUAUUAAGUUAUUUAUGUUAAGCAGCUCCAUGAUCAUCGCAGAAAAUAUUUAACUAUAAAUAAUAAUAAAAUAAAGAAUAAAUGAAAUCAGUACUAAAGAAGUAAUUGAUAAUCAAGUCAGGUGAAUAACAACCAGGGGUGGAGCCAGGGCCUCCAGGCAGGUUAUUUGUUUGCUCGAUUGAAAUCACGAUUGUAAUAAUUGUGAUCUGUGUGCCAAAUUAACAAAAAAAAAAAAAAAAAAAGUAUACAAAUUUCAGGCUGGGAUGUAAGUCAUGAGCUUUGAAACAAGGAAAAACAAGGUUACUUACACGCACAACUGAAAACAGUAAUCUCCUCAUGGGGGCCAGGUUCAGCCUCAGAGAGAGUGAGGAGUUCGGAGCUCCAGGAAGGGUCGCUGUUUCUCCUGGCAGGUGUCAGUUAAGGUGUAGUCAUGAUGCCUCAUCGUAGAAAGGAGUUUUAGACAUGGCCUGCUGGUAGGACACCCUGGCCAACCCAGCACCCAAACAGAAGGACUUACCCAGGCAGACCUGGAAUGCCUGGAUGAACUGGUGAGGAUGGCUGAGGAGGAAAGUCGGUGUCUUACUGGUAGAGAUGCUGCCCCGUGACCCGGGCCUGGACCCGACCCGGGUGAGCAGAAGAAGAACAAGUUAAUUUGUAGAUUUCAUGUAAUAUGUGUUUAUGGUUUUCAGAAUUUUUAAUUUGAUGUUCUGUCUCCCACCAUUAAAGUAGAUAUUAUCAUAAAAUUUGAGACGGUUCAUUUCUGUAACUGAGCACACUUUUAAAAUCAGCAGGGGACCAAGCAAUUAUUUCCCCUGCUGUAGUCAUGAUUAGUCAGUGUCUUAUAUGAGAAGAACGUCUGGAGCGUCCUCUGGUGCCUUACACAUCAUUUAUUAUGAGGAAACUAAACUAACAGAUUCCUAUAAUUAGGUCAAGACAAGUACAACAUGGACCGUCCACAUAGAAAUACAAGUUUUGGUUCUCUAAACAACAAGCAAGAGAUCAUUUUUGUGUCAUUUUAGUAGACCUUUAGGUAUCAGAUGUUUGUGUAUGAUCUUCUUUCUCUUCUUUUGCAUGAUUUAAUUUAUUGUUACCCAACAUAGGGACCAAUAAAAAGCAUUACUGAAGCUUAAAUAUCAGGACUGAUUUGUUUCAGACAAAAAUAGGUCAGAUCGACUGCGAGUAAAUCAGACUAUAAGUGGCUUCUGUCUGAACGUUUUACUGCAAUUUGCCUUGUUUGCUGCAUGUGCAGAGAGUAGAAACAGCACAAUGACACAGUUACGCAAGCAUCUUGCCACCUGUGCAAAAUAAGGUAAACAUGCCACGUGUAACGUCAUUGUGAUAGAUGAUAAUUAACAUGUAUGGUGUGGUGUAACAUCUGUGACCUCUGCAGCAGAUCCAGAUGAAAACACGAUUUUUACUGUAGAAAUCCAUGAAUUAUUCGUCAGAAAUGAAAGGUGUGAGAGCCUGCCGAUGCUAUAAUUUGCUGUAAUUAGGACAGCUUAUGUAUCACAGCCUAAUGAGGACGUUUAGUCUCAACAGGCUGGGAGAAGCUUUUAAUAACUUUUAAAAUAAAUCACAUUUAAAAAGCUGUGUUUGAUCAUCACAGUGGUUGGGAGCUGCUCCCACAUGCACACAUUAAUCAGUCCAUAUGAGCAGAUUUAUGGAGAAUACUCAUAUACAGCCUUGCAGCUGUUUAUUUCUGGAGACUUGACUUAAAACGUGAAAAGCUGGCAGAAUUUAGCAAUCUUUCAUGGAUUUUAUCAAUAUGUUUAUCAAUAACCCAUUUCCUAUAGUGAAGAGAGAAGGAGACGAUGAGAAGACAAGUCAAACUGUUAUAACUGUGGUAUAAUGCACGAGGCAAAAUGCCCUGAACAUCUGUACACAGACUUUAUUUAUAGAGAAAUGGGAGUGAGAGAGAUUGUGUGUGUGUGUGUGUGUGUGUGUGUGGGAAGUCAA
Nothobranchius furzeri (turquoise killifish) is the source of this 4037-nucleotide long non-coding RNA. Lineage: Eukaryota; Metazoa; Chordata; Actinopteri; Cyprinodontiformes; Nothobranchiidae. The record is from Ensembl.